Molecule: ribosomal RNA, 451 nt
Filed under: uncultured soil bacterium
Lineage: Bacteria
Description: bacterial SSU rRNA
Rfam family: Bacterial small subunit ribosomal RNA
Source: RNAcentral
AGAUUGAACGCUGGCGGCAUGCCUUACACAUGCAAGUCGAACGGUAGAGUAGCAAUACUCGAGAGUGGCGAACGGGUGAGUAAUAUAUCGGAACGUGCCCAGUCGUGGGGGAUAACGUAGAGAAAUUUACGCUAAUACCGCAUACGAUCUACGGAUGAAAGCGGGGGAUUCGCAAGAACCUCGCGCGAUUGGAGUGGCUGAUAUCAGAUUAGGUUGUGGUGAGGUAAAAGCUCACCAAGCCGACGAUCUGUAGCUGGUUUGAGAGAACGACCAGCCACACUGGGACUGAGACACGGCCCAGACCUCCUACGGGAGCAGCAGGUGGGAAUUUUGGACAAGUGGGACGAAAGCCUGAUCCAGCAAUGCCGCGUGCGAGGAAGAGGCCUUCGGUUAGUAAACUGUACUUUGUAACGGAACGUAAACGUUCCAACCUAAGUACGGUGGACUUAAG